GUUUUAAUAAUUUAAUGAAAAUAUUAGUUUUGUAAACUGAAAUUAGGAAUAACCUUUAAAACU
This 63-nucleotide transfer RNA is filed under the name Leofa pulchella. RNAcentral describes it as "tRNA-Thr". The record is from RNAcentral. Lineage: Eukaryota; Metazoa; Arthropoda; Insecta; Hemiptera; Cicadellidae.